Molecule: ribosomal RNA, 383 nt
Filed under: uncultured bacterium
Lineage: Bacteria
Description: bacterial SSU rRNA
Rfam family: Bacterial small subunit ribosomal RNA
Source: RNAcentral
AUUGAACGCUGGCGGCAUGCUUUACACAUGCAAGUCGAACGGGGUGAAGGGGCAACUCUUCAUUCAGUGGCGAACGGGUGAGUAAUGCAUCGGAACGUACCUCGUAGUGGGGGAUAACUCGGCGAAAGCCGUGCUAAUACCGCAUAUGCUCUACGGAGGAAAGCAGGGGACCUGAAAGGGCCUUGUGCUAUGGGAGCGGCCGAUGUCCGAUUAGCUAGUUGGUGGGGAAUGGCCUACCAAGGCGACGAUCGGUAGCUGGUCUGAGAGGAUGAUCAGCCACACUGGGACUGAGACACGGCCCAGACUCCUACGGGAGGCAGCAGUGGGGAAUUUUGGACAAUGGGGGCAACCCUGAUCCAGCCAUGCCGCGUGCGGGAAGAAGG